This 484-nucleotide ribosomal RNA is filed under the name uncultured bacterium. Its description in RNAcentral is "partial 16S ribosomal RNA". It matches the Rfam family "Bacterial small subunit ribosomal RNA", at positions 29 to 507 of the family's 1533-position model. The record is from RNAcentral.
AUUGAACGCUGGCGGCAUGCUUUACACAUGCAAGUCGAACGGCAGCGCGGGCUUCGGCCUGGCUGCGAGUGGCGAACGGGUGAGUAAUGCAUCGGAACGUGCCCAGUAGUGGGGGAUAGCCCGGCGAAAGCCGGAUUAAUACCGCAUACGACCUGAGGGUGAAAGCGGGGGACCGAAAGGCCUCGCGCUAUUGGAGCGGCCGAUGUCGGAUUAGCUAGUUGGUGGGGUAAAGGCUUACCAAGGCGACGAUCCGUAGCUGGUCUGAGAGGACGACCAGCCACACUGGGACUGAGACACGGCCCAGACUCCUACGGGAGGCAGCAGUGGGGAAUUUUGGACAAUGGGGGCAAACCUGAUCCAGCCAUGCCGCGUGCGGGAAGAAGGCCUUCGGGUUGUAAACCGCUUUUGUUCGGGAAGAAAUCCUCUGGGCUAAUACCCCGGGGGGAUGACGGUACCGGAAGAAUAAGCACCGGCUAACUACGUG